This 440-nucleotide ribosomal RNA is filed under the name uncultured bacterium. RNAcentral's name for it is "partial 16S ribosomal RNA". It matches the Rfam family "Bacterial small subunit ribosomal RNA", at positions 338 to 795 of the family's 1533-position model. The record is from RNAcentral.
GCUACGGGUGGCAGCAGUGGGGGAUAUUGCACAAUGGGGGGAACCCUGAUGCAGCGACGCCGCGUGGGUGAAGAAGCGCCUCGGCGCGUAAAGCCCUGUCAGCAGGGAAGAAAAUGACGGUACCUGAAGAAGAAGCCCCGGCUAACUACGGGCCAGCAGCCGCGGGAAUACGUAGGGGGUAAGCGGGAUCCGGAUGUACUGGGGGUAAAGGGGGCGCAGACGGCGAUGCAAGCCAGGAGUGAAAGCCCGGGGGCCAACCCCGGGACUGCUCUUGGAAGUGCGUGGCUGGAGUGCAGGAGGGGCAGGCGGAAUUCCUUGUGUAGCGGUGAAAUGCGUAGAUAUCAGGAGGAACACCGGUGGCGAAGGUGGCCUGCUGGACUGCAACUGACGUUGAGGCCCGAAAGCGUGGGGAGCAAACAGGAUUAGAUACCCUUGUAGUC